CCCGCACAAGCGGAGGAGCAUGUGGUUUAAUUCGAUGAUACGCGAGGAACCUUACCUGGGCUUAAAUGCUUAAUGACGUACUGGGAAACUGGUAUUUCUUCGGACAUUUUGCAAGGUGCUGCAUGGUUGUCGUCAGCUCGUGCCGUGAGGUGUCGGGUUAAGUCCCAUAACGAGCGCAACCCCUAUUGUUAGUUGCCAUCAGGUCAUGCUGGGGACUCUAACAAAACUGCCCGCGUAAGCGUGGAGGAAGGUGGGGAUGACGUCAAAUCAGCACGGCCCUUACGUCCAGGGCUACACACGUGCUACAAUGGCCGGUACAGAGGGCAGCCACUUGGUGACAAGGAGCAAAUCUCAAAAGCCGGUCUCAGUUCGGAUCGGAGUCUGCAACUCGACUCCGUGAAGUUGGAUUCGCUAGUAAUCGUAGAUCAGCAAUGCUACGGUGAAUACGUUCCCGGGCCUU
This 460-nucleotide ribosomal RNA is filed under the name uncultured Bacteroidota bacterium. RNAcentral's name for it is "bacterial SSU rRNA". It matches the Rfam family "Bacterial small subunit ribosomal RNA", at positions 920 to 1382 of the family's 1533-position model. Lineage: Bacteria; Pseudomonadati; Bacteroidota. The record is from RNAcentral.